GACGAACGCUGGCGGCGUGCUUAACACAUGCAAGUCGAACGGAAAGGCCCCUUUGGGUGUACUCUAGUUGCGCACGGGUGAGUAACACAUUAGUAACCUGCCCUUUACUUCGGGAUAACUUCAGGAAACUGGGGCUAAUACCGAAUAGGAAUCCUUGCUGCAUGGUGGGGGUUGGAAAGCUUCGGCGGUUUUGCAUUGACUCGCGGCUUAUCAGCUUGGUGGUGGGGUAGUGGCUUACCAAGGCUUUGACGGGUAGCCGGACUGAGAGGGCGACAGGCCGCAUUGGGACUGAGGUACGGCCCAGGCUCGUAAGGGUGGAAGAAGUGGGGAAUAUUGCACAAUGGGCGGCAGGCGGAUGCAGAAACGCCGCGUGCGGGAUAACGGCCUUCGGGUUGUAAACCGCUUUCAGCAGGGGCGAAGCUUGUGGUGACGGUACCUGAAGAAGAAGCACCGGCUAACUACGUG
This 465-nucleotide ribosomal RNA is filed under the name uncultured bacterium. Its description in RNAcentral is "partial 16S ribosomal RNA". It matches the Rfam family "Bacterial small subunit ribosomal RNA", at positions 28 to 507 of the family's 1533-position model. The record is from RNAcentral.